AACGAACGCUGGCGGCAUGCCUAACACAUGCGAGUCGAACGAGACCUUCGGGUCUAGUGGCGCACGGGUGCGUAACGCGUGGGAACCUGCCCUUAGGUUCGGAAUAACUCCCCGAAAGGGGUGCUAAUACCGGAUAAUGUCUUCGGACCAAAGAUUUAUCGCCUUUGGAUGGGCCCGCGUUGGAUUAGCUAGUUGGUAGGGUAAAAGCCUACCAAGGCGACGAUCCAUAGCUGGUCUGAGAGGAUGAUCAGCCACACUGGGACUGAGACACGGCCCAGACUCCUACGGGAAGCAGCAGUGGGGAAUAUUGGACAAUGGGCGAAAGCCUGAUCCAGCAAUGCCGCGUGAGUGAUGAAGGCCUUAGGGUUGUAAAGCUCUUUUACCCGGGAUGAUAAUGACAGUACCGGGAGAAUAAGCUCCGGCUAACUCCGUG
Molecule: ribosomal RNA, 433 nt
Filed under: uncultured bacterium
Lineage: Bacteria
Description: partial 16S ribosomal RNA
Rfam family: Bacterial small subunit ribosomal RNA
Source: RNAcentral